RNAcentral lists this ribosomal RNA (429 nucleotides) under uncultured bacterium. RNAcentral's name for it is "bacterial SSU rRNA". It matches the Rfam family "Bacterial small subunit ribosomal RNA", at positions 355 to 776 of the family's 1533-position model. The record is from RNAcentral.
UGGGGAAUAUUGGACAAUGGGCGCAAGCCUGAUCCAGCCAUGCCGCGUGAGUGAUGAAGGCCUUCGGGUCGUAAAGCUCUGUGGGGAGGGACGAAAGGCCCCGGCCCAAUACGCCGGGGAGUUGACGGUACCUCCUUAGCAAGCACCGGCUAACUCCGUGCCAGCAGCCGCGGUAAUACGGAGGGUGCAAACGUUGCUCGGAAUCAUUGGGCGUAAAGCGCACGUAGGCGGUCGUGUAAGUCAGGUGUGAAAGCCCUGGGCUCAACCCAGGAAGUGCACUUGAAACUGCGAGGCUUGAGUACGGAAGGGGGUCUCGGAAUUCCCGGUGUAGAGGUGAAAUUCGUAGAUAUCGGGAGGAACACCAGCGGCGAAGGCGGAGACCUGGGCCGAUACUGACGCUGAGGUGCGAAAGCGUGGGGAGCAAACAGG